Molecule: ribosomal RNA, 585 nt
Filed under: uncultured bacterium
Lineage: Bacteria
Description: partial 16S ribosomal RNA
Rfam family: Bacterial small subunit ribosomal RNA
Source: RNAcentral
UGGGGAAUUUUGGACAAUGGGCGAAAGCCUGAUCCAGCAAUGCCGCGUGUGUGAAGAAGGCCUUCGGGUUGUAAAGCACUUUUGUCCGGAAAGAAAUCCUUGGCUCUAAUACAGUCGGGGGAUGACGGUACCGGAAGAAUAAGCACCGGCUAACUACGUGCCAGCAGCCGCGGUAAUACGUAGGGUGCAAGCGUUAAUCGGAAUUACUGGGCGUAAAGCGUGCGCAGGCGGUUUGCUAAGACCGAUGUGAGAUCCCCGGGCUCAACCUGGGAACUGCAUUGGUGACUGGCAGGCUAGAGUAUGGCAGAGGGGGGUAGAAUUCCACGUGUAGCAGUGAAAUGCGUAGAGAUGUGGAGGAAUACCGAUGGCGAAGGCAGCCCCCUGGGCCAAUACUGACGCUCGUGCACGAAAGCGUGGGGAGCAAACAGGAUUAGAUACCCUGGUAGUCCACGCCCUAAACGAUGUCAACUAGUUGUUGGGGAUUCAUUUCCUUAGUAACGUAGCUAACGCGUGAAGUUGACCGCCUGGGGAGUACGGUCGCAAGAUUAAAACUCAAAUGAAUUGACGGGGUCAUAGCUGUUUCCU